GAACACUCUGCCUCUUCUUCAGGUUGCUGGCUUCAACAAAUGCCCUGCACACAAGAUAAGCACAGUGACAUCAAACAAACAGAGAAAAUAUGGCCCAAAUUGAAAGCAUCCAGAUCUCUAUAAGCCAUACAUUUUUACAUUACCCCAUACUGAACAUAACUGUGGACACCUCGUAAAAAUAAUCAGAAAAUAUUCACUAUGGUAUUUUCAUCUGUGCAACCAGACUCACCUGGCGUGCUGGACACAAUGGAGGUUGAAGGUGACGCUGCCUGUGGUCUGUAUGCGGAAGCCAAAGCGACUCAGUCUCUCUCCCUACUGUACAUAGACAGAGUCCAGGGGUUGCUGGGAGAGGGUCAGAAGGGAAGGAGCAACGACCAUCUCUUUCAAAUGCCAGCGCGAAUCCUGGAAGGAGCUUCAUUGCAGCGAUUGGACUGCAUGGAGUCAAUCAUCAUCUCUAGUGAACAAUUUCAGGUGAUAGUUCCAACAGACGAAGAAAACUUGACUCUAGAAAAGUGUUUUUCCAUGAGAGGACUACACAUUCUUCAUCUCAAUGUUAGAAGUCUUCUCCCCAAGAUUGAGGAACUUCGCCUACUCUCUAGUAACUGAAAGGAUGGCCAGCCACACAGGAGCAUGAUAUUUACAAAGGAGGAGAAGGAGGCCGUGCUGACCGAGAUGCAUGCUGGCCAUUUCAGAGUGAAGCGCAUGAUUGCCAAAAUCAACCUACACGUUUUUUUGACGGGGAAUUGUCGAGGAGUUGGACAGCUGUGUCAGUACCCUGUUUAGCCUACCAGAAGUUUGAGAGGGUGAAGACUGUGGCGCUGGAGUUGAAGCCCAUCAAAGUUGUUUCACCAUGGCACAUAAACGAGGACCUGAGCCCUAGGACCAAGCCUCAGGACUACCUGGCCUGAUGACUCCUUGCUGUCCCCAG
This is a long non-coding RNA of Oncorhynchus tshawytscha (Chinook salmon), 928 nucleotides long. Lineage: Eukaryota; Metazoa; Chordata; Actinopteri; Salmoniformes; Salmonidae. The record is from Ensembl.